UCUCCCUCAUUAGCAUCUCCACAUACCUCCGAUGAAACCACUGGCUUUCAUUCUCUACCUCUCGACGCCUCUUUCUCAGGACCUCAGAUUCCGCCUCUGUGUCCUUGACUGCCUGCUGCUCGUAUACCAACUGGAUCUUCAAUUGCUGUAGCUCGGCCUUCCCCUCCCCAAGGGUGACCGAUAGCUCUUCUACAGUCCCUCUCAGGGAUUAGAGUUCGUUGGGAUCCCGAACGGGAGCAAACGGAGCUCCUUCAGAUAACUGCCUUUGAAGGUGGGCAACCUCGUCGGUUGCCAUCCUGAGCUUCCCCCUGU
RNAcentral lists this long non-coding RNA (312 nucleotides) under Elaeis guineensis (African oil palm). Its description in RNAcentral is "long non-coding RNA (EGUI_LNC076156)". The record is from RNAcentral. Lineage: Eukaryota; Viridiplantae; Streptophyta; Magnoliopsida; Arecales; Arecaceae.